GUUAAGCGACUAAGCGUACACGGUGGAUGCCCUGGCAGUCAGAGGCGAUGAAGGACGUGCUAAUCUGCGAAAAGCGUCGGUAAGGUGAUAUGAACCGUUACAGCCGGCGAUGUCCGAAUGGGGAAACCCAGUGCAAUUCGUUGCACUAUCGUUAACUGAAUACAUAGGUUAACGAGGCGAACCGGGGGAACUGAAACAUCUAAGUACCCCGAGGAAAAGAAAUCAACCGAGAUUCCCCCAGUAGCGGCGAGCGAACGGGGAGCAGCCCAGAGUCUGAAUCAGCUUGUGUGUUAGUGGAACGGUCUGGAAAGUCCGACGGUACAGGGUGAUAGUCCCGUACACCAAAAUGCACAGGCUGUGAACUCGAAGAGUAGGGCGGGACACGUGGUAUCCUGUCUGAAUAUGGGGGGACCAUCCUCCAAGGCUAAAUACUCCUGACUGACCGAUAGUGAACCAGUACCGUGAGGGAAAGGCGAAAAGAACCCCGGCGAGGGGAGUGAAAAAGAACCUGAAACCGUGUACGUACAAGCAGUGGGAGCACCUUCGGGUGUGACUGCGUACCUUUUGUAUAAUGGGUCAGCGACUUAUAUUCUGUAGCAAGGUUAACCGUAUAGGGGAGCCGCAGGGAAACCGAGUCUUAACUGGGCGUUAAGUUGCAGGGUAUAGACCCGAAACCCGGUGAUCUAGCCAUGGGCAGGUUGAAGGUUGGGUAACACUAACUGGAGGACCGAACCGACUAAUGUUGAAAAAUUAGCGGAUGACUUGUGGCUGGGGGUGAAAGGCCAAUCAAACCGGGAGAUAGCUGGUUCUCCCCGAAAGCUAUUUAGGUAGCGCCUCGUGAAUUCAUCUUCGGGGGUAGAGCACUGUUUCGGCUAGGGGGUCAUCCCGACUUACCAACCCGAUGCAAACUACGAAUACCGAAGAAUGUUAUCACGGGAGACACACGGCGGGUGCUAACGUCCGUCGUGAAGAGGGAAACAACCCAGACCGCCAGCUAAGGUCCCAAAGUCACAGUUAAGUGGGAAACGAUGUGGGAAGGCACAGACAGCCAGGAUGUUGGCUUAGAAGCAGCCAUCAUUUAAAGAAAGCGUAAUAGCUCACUGGUCGAGUCGGCCUGCGCGGAAGAUGUAACGGGGCUAAACUGUGCACCGAAGCUGCGGCAGCGACACUAUGUGUUGUUGGGUAGGGGAGCGUUCUGUAAGCCUGCGAAGGUGGCCUGUGAGGGUUGCUGGAGGUAUCAGAAGUGCGAAUGCUGACAUAAGUAACGAUAAUGCGGGUGAAAAGCCCGCACGCCGGAAGACCAAGGGUUCCUGUCCAACGUUAAUCGGGGCAGGGUGAGUCGACCCCUAAGGCGAGGCCGAAAGGCGUAGUCGAUGGGAAACAGGUUAAUAUUCCUGUACUUGGUGUUACUGCGAAGGGGGGACGGAGAAGGCUAUGUUAGCCGGGCGACGGUUGUCCCGGUUUAAGCAUGUAGGCGGAGGUUCCAGGUAAAUCCGGUACCUUUUUAACGCUGAGGUGUGAUGACGAGGCACUACGGUGCUGAAGUAACAAAUGCCCUGCUUCCAGGAAAAGCCUCUAAGCAUCAGGUAACAUUGAAUCGUACCCCAAACCGACACAGGUGGUCAGGUAGAGAAUACCAAGGCGCUUGAGAGAACUCGGGUGAAGGAACUAGGCAAAAUGGUGCCGUAACUUCGGGAGAAGGCACGCUGAUAUGUAGGUGAAGCCCCUGCGGGUGGAGCUGAAAUCAGUCGAAGAUACCAGCUGGCUGCAACUGUUUAUUAAAAACACAGCACUGUGCAAACACGAAAGUGGACGUAUACGGUGUGACGCCUGCCCGGUGCCGGAAGGUUAAUUGAUGGGGUUAUCCGUAAGGAGAAGCUCUUGAUCGAAGCCCCGGUAAACGGCGGCCGUAACUAUAACGGUCCUAAGGUAGCGAAAUUCCUUGUCGGGUAAGUUCCGACCUGCACGAAUGGCGUAAUGAUGGCCAGGCUGUCUCCACCCGAGACUCAGUGAAAUUGAACUCGCUGUGAAGAUGCAGUGUACCCGCGGCAAGACGGAAAGACCCCGUGAACCUUUACUAUAGCUUGACACUGAACAUUGAGCCUUGAUGUGUAGGAUAGGUGGGAGGCUUUGAAGCGUGGACGCCAGUCUGCGUGGAGCCAACCUUGAAAUACCACCCUUUAAUGUUUGAUGUUCUAACGUUGGCCCCUGACCGGGGUUGCGGACAGUGUCUGGUGGGUAGUUUGACUGGGGCGGUCUCCUCCCAAAGAGUAACGGAGGAGCACGAAGGUUAGCUAAUCCUGGUCGGACAUCAGGAGGUUAGUGCAAUGGCAUAAGCUAGCUUGACUGCGAGCGUGACGGCGCGAGCAGGUGCGAAAGCAGGUCAUAGUGAUCCGGUGGUUCUGAAUGGAAGGGCCAUCGCUCAACGGAUAAAAGGUACUCCGGGGAUAACAGGCUGAUACCGCCCAAGAGUUCAUAUCGACGGCGGUGUUUGGCACCUCGAUGUCGGCUCAUCACAUCCUGGGGCUGAAGUAGGUCCCAAGGGUAUGGCUGUUCGCCAUUUAAAGUGGUACGCGAGCUGGGUUUAGAACGUCGUGAGACAGUUCGGUCCCUAUCUGCCGUGGGCGCUGGAGAAUUGAGGGGGGCUGCUCCUAGUACGAGAGGACCGGAGUGGACGCAUCACUGGUGUUCGGGUUGUCAUGCCAAUGGCAUUGCCCGGUAGCUAAAUGCGGAAGAGAUAAGUGCUGAAAGCAUCUAAGCACGAAACUUGCCCCGAGAUGAGUUCUCCCUGAGACUUUAAGUCUCCUGAAGGAACGUUAAAGACGAUGACGUUGAUAGGUCGGGUGUGUAAGCGUAGCGAUACGUUGAGCUAACCGAUACUAAUGAACCGUGAGGCUUAACC
Molecule: ribosomal RNA, 2902 nt
Filed under: Klebsiella aerogenes
Lineage: Bacteria; Pseudomonadati; Pseudomonadota; Gammaproteobacteria; Enterobacterales; Enterobacteriaceae
Description: Bacterial large subunit ribosomal RNA
Rfam family: Bacterial large subunit ribosomal RNA
Source: RNAcentral